This 301-nucleotide ribosomal RNA is filed under the name uncultured bacterium. RNAcentral describes it as "partial 16S ribosomal RNA". It matches the Rfam family "Bacterial small subunit ribosomal RNA", at positions 509 to 807 of the family's 1533-position model. The record is from RNAcentral.
CAGUAGCCGCGGGAAUACGGAGGGGGCUAGCGUUGUUCGGAAUUACUGGGCGUAAAGCGUACGUAGGCGGCUUUGUAAGUUAGAGGUGAAAGCCUGGUGCUCAACACCAGAAUUGCCUUUAAGACUGCAUCGCUUGAACGUCGGAGAGGUGAGUGGAAUUCCGAGUGUAGAGGUGAAAUUCGUAGAUAUUCGGAAGAACACCAGUGGCGAAGGCGGCUCACUGGACGACUGUUGACGCUGAGGUACGAAAGCGUGGGGAGCAAACAGGAUUAGAUACCCCAGUAGUCCCUGUCUCUUAUAC